AGGGUUUGAUCAUGGCUCAGGACGAACGCUGGCGGCAUGCCUAACACAUGCAAGUCGAACGAGAAAGUUCCUUCGGGAGCAAUUAAAGUGGCGCACGGGUGAGUAACGCGUAGACAAUCUGCCCUUCAGUCUGGGACAACUUUUCGAAAGGAGAGCUAAUACCGGAUAACAAUGCAUGACACAAGUUGUAUAUUUGAAAGCUUUAUGUGCUGAAGGAGGGGUCUGCGUCCCAUUAGCUAGUUGGUAAGGUAAAGGCUUACCAAGGCAACGAUGGGUAGCGGGUUUGAGAGGACGAUCCGCCACACUGGAACUGAGACACGGUCCAGACUCCUACGGGAGGCAGCAGUGGGGAAUAUUGCACAAUGGAGGAAACUCUGAUGCAGCAAUGUCGCGUGAGUGAAGAAGGCCCUUGGGUCGUAAAGCUCUUUUAUGGGGGAAGAUGAUGACGGUACCCCAAGAAUAAGCACCGGCUAACUAUGUGCCAGCAGCCGCGGUAAUACAUAGGGUGCGAGCGUUGUUCGGAAUUACUGGGCGUAAAGGGCGCGCAGGCGGAAUAGUAAGUCGGAGGUGAAAGCCCGGGGCUCAACCCCGGAGGGUCUUUCGAAACUACUAAUCUAGAGAGGGUCAGGGGCCGGCAGAAUUCCUGGUGUA
This 651-nucleotide ribosomal RNA is filed under the name uncultured bacterium. RNAcentral describes it as "bacterial SSU rRNA". It matches the Rfam family "Bacterial small subunit ribosomal RNA", at positions 8 to 677 of the family's 1533-position model. The record is from RNAcentral.